AGUUAAAUAAUUUAAAUUAAAAUAUUAAUUUUGUAAAUUAAAUAUAUCUUAUAGUUUUUAACUU
This 64-nucleotide transfer RNA is filed under the name Meteorus pulchricornis. Its description in RNAcentral is "tRNA-Thr". Lineage: Eukaryota; Metazoa; Arthropoda; Insecta; Hymenoptera; Braconidae. The record is from RNAcentral.